Molecule: regulatory RNA element, 81 nt
Organism: Bacillus sp. MRMR6
Lineage: Bacteria; Bacillati; Bacillota; Bacilli; Caryophanales; Bacillaceae
Source: Rfam
GUGCUACUACAACCGCACAGUUCAGGUAAUAAGUUUUAUGCCAGGCAUAGACGCCUGUAUUUGGCGAGUCUGAGUUUAUAA